CGCGGAAUGCCAUAUUGUGCAGGCUUUCUGCAAGGUAUCAUAAUCCUUGUGUCGGGGGUUCGAAUCCCUCCUCCGCUACCA
RNAcentral lists this transfer RNA (81 nucleotides) under Rhizobium leguminosarum. Its description in RNAcentral is "tRNA-Met". Lineage: Bacteria; Pseudomonadati; Pseudomonadota; Alphaproteobacteria; Hyphomicrobiales; Rhizobiaceae. The record is from RNAcentral.